AUGAGCGUGUCGCUGCACGGCGGCGGCGAAGCUGGAGCGCAGGUGGAGAGCGGAGGAGCUGCAGUGAAACAGCCAUGGUUCUGCACGUCGGCAGCGGAGACGCAGCGUAACAGCCAUGGUGUUGCGCACCGUCGGCAGAGCUACAGGCAACACGCCCGUGAGCGAGAGAGCUGCAGUGCAACGGGUGGUGUGGUGCUCUGCUCCGGCGAAGGAGCUGCAACGGAACACGCCGGUGUUGCUAUGGAGCGUCGUCAGGCCGCCAAUGUUGUAUUGGAUCAUUGCCGGAGGCCUCUCGUGCUGCGAUGA
Molecule: ribosomal RNA, 306 nt
Filed under: Triticum aestivum (bread wheat)
Lineage: Eukaryota; Viridiplantae; Streptophyta; Magnoliopsida; Poales; Poaceae
Description: partial small subunit ribosomal RNA
Source: RNAcentral